This 465-nucleotide ribosomal RNA is filed under the name uncultured bacterium. Its description in RNAcentral is "partial 16S ribosomal RNA". It matches the Rfam family "Bacterial small subunit ribosomal RNA", at positions 338 to 795 of the family's 1533-position model. The record is from RNAcentral.
CCUACGGGGUGCAGCAGUGGGGAAUUUUGGACAAUGGGCGCAAGCCUGAUCCAGCUAUUCCGCGUGUGGGAAGACGGCCUUCGGGUUGUAAACCACUUGUGUAGAGAAAGACAAUUCUGUUGAUAAGACCGAUAGAUGAUGACGGUACUCUAAGAAUAAGCACCGGCUAACGACGUGCCAGCAGCCGCGGUAAUACGUAGGGUUCGAGCGUUAAUCGGGAUUACUGGGCGUAAGGGGUGUGCAGGCGGUGUUGCAAGAUGGAUGUGAAAGCACCGGGCUUAACCUGGGAAAGCCAUCCAUGACUGCAAGACUAGAGUGCGUCAGAGGGGGGUGGAAUUCCAAGUGUAGCAGUGAAAUGCGUAGAUAUUUGGAAGAACACCGAUGGCGAAGGCAGCCCCCUGGGACGCAACUGACGCUCAUACACGAAAGCGUGGGGAGCAAACAGGAUUAGAUACCCUUGUAGUC